This 439-nucleotide ribosomal RNA is filed under the name uncultured bacterium. RNAcentral's name for it is "partial 16S ribosomal RNA". It matches the Rfam family "Bacterial small subunit ribosomal RNA", at positions 339 to 795 of the family's 1533-position model. The record is from RNAcentral.
CUACGGGUCGCACCAGUGAGGAAUAUUGCACAAUGGGGGAAACCCUGAUGCAGCAACGCCGCGUGGAGGAUGACGCAUUUCGGUGUGUAAACUCCUUUUAUCAGAGAAGAAAAUGACGGUAUCUGAUGAAUAAGCUCCGGCUAACUCCGUGCCAGCAGCCGCGGUAAUACGGAGGGAGCAAGCGUUAUUCGGAAUCACUGGGCGUAAAGGACGCGUAGGCGGGUUUUUAAGUCAGGUGUGAAAUCCUAUGGCUCAACCAUAGAACUGCACUUGAAACUGGGGAUCUAGAGUAUGGAAGGGGCAGGUGGAAUUAGUGGUGUAGGGGUAAAGUCUGUAGAUAUCACUAGGAAUACCGAAAGCGAAGGCGACCUGCUGGGACAUUACUGACGCUGAGGCGUGAAAGCGUGGGGAGCAAACAGGAUUAGAUACCCUAGUAGUC